Molecule: RNase P RNA, 438 nt
Filed under: Cytophagales bacterium
Lineage: Bacteria; Pseudomonadati; Bacteroidota; Cytophagia; Cytophagales
Description: RNase P RNA component class A
Rfam family: Bacterial RNase P class A
About the family: Ribonuclease P (RNase P) is a ubiquitous endoribonuclease, found in archaea, bacteria and eukarya as well as chloroplasts and mitochondria. Its best characterised activity is the generation of mature 5'-ends of tRNAs by cleaving the 5'-leader elements of precursor-tRNAs. Cellular RNase Ps are ribonucleoproteins.
Source: RNAcentral
AAAGCAAACCGUCUUAUCGCUGUCCGCCCCUGGCGGAGGGAGGAAAGUCCGGGCAACGCAGAGCAUCGUACUUCCUAACGGGAAGGCGCUCCUCCGGGAGUGACAGACAGGGCCACAGAAAACAACCGCCCCCACGGGGUAAGGGUGAAAAGGUGGGGUAAGAGCCCACCGCUCCGCUGGUGACAGGGGGGGCAUCGGUAAACCUUACGAGUUGAAAGACCAAAUAAGCUGACGGUUCAAUGGUCAAUCGACGGUGAUUGGUUGUCCACGCGACAAUUGCUCAUUGAACACGGAUCAUUGACGAAGGGCGGCUCGUCCGGCGUCAGCGGGUAGGUUGAUGGAGCUUGUUCGUGAGGACAAGCCUAGAUAAAUGAUAAGAACCCGCCCGGGCGUCAGCUUCGGCGGGUACAGAACCCGGCUUACAGGUUUGCUUUUCAA